RNAcentral lists this ribosomal RNA (490 nucleotides) under uncultured bacterium. RNAcentral's name for it is "partial 16S ribosomal RNA". It matches the Rfam family "Bacterial small subunit ribosomal RNA", at positions 30 to 507 of the family's 1533-position model. The record is from RNAcentral.
AUUGAACGCUGGCGGCAGGCCUAACACAUGCAAGUCGAACGGUAACAGGAAGAAGCUUGCUUCUUUGCUGACGAGUGGCGGACGGGUGAGUAAUGUCUGGGAAACUGCCUGAUGGAGGGGGAUAACUACUGGAAACGGUAGCUAAUACCGCAUAACGUCGCAAGACCAAAGAGGGGGACCUUCGGGCCUCUUGCCAUCGGAUGGGCCCAGAUGGGAUUAGCUAGUAGGUGGGGUAACGGCUCACCUAGGCGACGAUCCCUAGCUGGUCUGAGAGGAUGACCAGCCACACUGGAACUGAGACACGGUCCAGACUCCUACGGGAGGCAGCAGUGGGGAAUAUUGCACAAAGGGCGCAAGCCUGAUGCAGCCAUGCCGCGUGUAUGAAGAAGGCCUUCGGGUUGUAAAGUACUUUCAGCGGGGAGGAAGGGAGUAAAGUUAAUACCUUUGCUCAUUGACGUUACCCGCAGAAGAAGCACCGGCUAACUCCGUG